RNAcentral lists this ribosomal RNA (292 nucleotides) under uncultured bacterium. RNAcentral's name for it is "partial 16S ribosomal RNA". It matches the Rfam family "Bacterial small subunit ribosomal RNA", at positions 505 to 796 of the family's 1533-position model. The record is from RNAcentral.
GUGCCAGCAGCCGCGGUAAUACAGAGGGUGCAAGCGUUGUUCGGAAUUACUGGGCGUAAAGCGCGUGUAGGCUGCGAUGUAAGUCGGACGUGAAAGCCCUUGGCUUAACCAAGGAAGUGCAUCCGAUACUGUGUCGCUUGAGUACCGGAGGGGAUGGCGGAAUUCCCGGUGUAGAGGUGAAAUUCGUAGAUAUCGGGAGGAACACCUGUGGCGAAGGCGGCCAUCUGGACGGUAACUGACGCUGAGACGCGAAAGCGUGGGUAGCAAACAGGAUUAGAAACCCUCGUAGUCC